RNAcentral lists this ribosomal RNA (521 nucleotides) under uncultured bacterium. RNAcentral describes it as "bacterial SSU rRNA". It matches the Rfam family "Archaeal small subunit ribosomal RNA", at positions 345 to 866 of the family's 1478-position model. The record is from RNAcentral.
AACCUCCGCAAUGUGAGAAAUCGCGACGGGGGGAUCCCAAGUGCCAUUCUUAACGGGAUGGCUUUUCAUUAGUGUAAAAAGCUUUUGGAAUAAGAGCUGGGCAAGACCGGUGCCAGCCGCCGCGGUAACACCGGCAGCUCUAGUGGUAGCAAUUUUUAUUGGGCCUAAAGCGUCCGUAGCCGGUUUAAUAAGUCUCUGGUGAAAUCCUGUAGCUUAACUGUGGGAAUUGCUGGAGAUACUAUUAGACUUGAGACCGGGAGAGGUUAGAGGUACUCCCAGGGUAGAGGUGAAAUUCUGUAAUCCUGGGAGGACCGCCUAUUGCGAAGGCGUCUAACUGGAACGGUUCUGACGGUGAGGGACGAAAGUUAGGGGCGCGAACCGGAUUAGAUACCCGGGUAGUCCUAACUGUAAACGAUGCGGACUUGGUGUUGGGGUGGCUUUGAGCUGCUUCAGUGCCGAAGGGAAGCUGUUAAGUCCGCCGCCUGGGAAGUACGGUCGCAAGACUGAAACUUAAAGGAAUU